Long non-coding RNA from Pogoniulus pusillus (Red-fronted tinkerbird), 547 nucleotides. RefSeq lists it as uncharacterized. The record is from RefSeq and is a predicted model, not a curated record. The transcript is spliced from 2 exons. NCBI's taxonomy places the organism in Eukaryota, Metazoa, Chordata, Aves, Piciformes, Lybiidae.
ACACCCUUUGUAAGCCUAACGACCCUUAACGACCCACCUGCAGCUGCUGAAAGGGAACGAGAGACAGACCGCCCGAGGAAGUCAGCCUGAUCAAGGGCAGCUACCUCUGAUGUCAGGCUGCGCUUUUGUUUACCAGAGGGAGAGCAAGAGAAGAGAAGCAAGAGGUGUCUUCGGUGUAGACAAAGAGGAGAGAGCAGAACCAGAUACUCAGGACUGAAAACUUUCAGUGCUUAGAGACGUCUUAAACUAUACGUUGAACUGAUACCUGUGUGCCAUGGCCUUUGCUGAGUUUCCAUCACCAUAUGUAUGACCAAGAAAACCUGAAGAAACAAAAUGGCAACCUACAUUUGAACUGGCUUUCAUUAUGAUUCACACAUUUAUUCUCACACUGCCUGAUCUGAGUUAUUGUUUCAUUCAGAAAAAAAUAAGUUUCCUUUAUAAUAGGUGAAAUGAUGUCUUGGAAUGUUUGGCUACAGUAAAUGGAAUCCAGAAAAGAGGCCAACAGAAAAAGAAAAUUAAAAAGAUAAAAUCAAGUUUUUCCCAUAAA